UGGGGAAUAUUGGACAAUGGGCGAAAGCCUGAUCCAGCCAUGCCGCGUGUGUGAAGAAGGUCUUCGGAUUGUAAAGCACUUUAAGUUGGGAGGAAGGGCAGUAAGCGAAUACCUUGCUGUUUUGACGUUACCGACAGAAUAAGCACCGGCUAACUCUGUGCCAGCAGCCGCGGUAAUACAGAGGGUGCAAGCGUUAAUCGGAAUUACUGGGCGUAAAGCGCGCGUAGGUGGUUCGUUAAGUUGAAUGUGAAAGCCCCGGGAUCAACCUCGGAACUGCAUCCAAAACUGGCGAGCUAGAGUAGGGCAGAGGGUGGUGGAAUUUCCUGUGUGGCGGUGAAAUGCGUAGAUAUAGGAAGGAACACCAGUGGCGAAGGCGACCACCUGGGCUCAUACUGACACUGAGGUGCGAAAGCGUGGGGAGCAAACAGG
RNAcentral lists this ribosomal RNA (429 nucleotides) under Pseudomonadota bacterium. RNAcentral describes it as "Proteobacteria bacterium partial 16S ribosomal RNA". It matches the Rfam family "Bacterial small subunit ribosomal RNA", at positions 355 to 776 of the family's 1533-position model. The record is from RNAcentral. Lineage: Bacteria; Pseudomonadati; Pseudomonadota.